GGGUCCUGGAAGGUCAUAAAGUGGUUGGGAAGGUCCUGGAAGGGCAAAGAGGGGUGGAAUGGGGGGAGAUGGGAGGUCCUGGAAGGUCAGAAAGGCAUUGGAAGGGUCCUGGAAGGUCAUAAAGUGGUUGGGAAGGUCCUGGAAGGGCAAAGAGGGGUGGAAUGGGAGGAGAUGGGAGGUCCUGGAAGGUCAAAAAGUGGUUGAGAAGGUCCUGGAAGGUCACAAAGUGGUUGGGAAGGUCCUGGAAGGGCAAAGAGGGGUGGAAUGGGGGGAGAUGGGAG
Long non-coding RNA from Gallus gallus (chicken), 281 nucleotides. RefSeq lists it as uncharacterized. The transcript is spliced from 3 exons. The record is from RefSeq and is a predicted model, not a curated record. Lineage: Eukaryota; Metazoa; Chordata; Aves; Galliformes; Phasianidae.